This 304-nucleotide non-coding RNA is filed under the name Mycolicibacterium phlei DSM 43239 = CCUG 21000. RNAcentral describes it as "Mycobacterium phlei DSM 43239 = CCUG 21000 Mycobacterium smegmatis small RNA 1". It matches the Rfam family "Mycobacterium smegmatis small RNA 1". Rfam says of the family: Mycobacterium smegmatis small RNA 1 is highly expressed during stationary phase of growth. Ms1 RNA directly interacts with RNA polymerase (RNAP), but in a different way than 6S, which is present in other bacteria. Lineage: Bacteria; Bacillati; Actinomycetota; Actinomycetes; Mycobacteriales; Mycobacteriaceae. The record is from Rfam by way of RNAcentral.
ACGGAAGCUUGGUGAGGCCAAGCCCGAGUCGGAAGAGAAGACUCGGACUCCCGAUCCCGGCUUCCCAGCACGGAUCCCGGCACCCACGCGGAGCACAUGCCGCGGAAUAGGCAGAAGUGUUGCGGGCCUGCGUAUUUGCGAAAAGCGGACGACAUCGACGGCCCCUUGGGCGGGGUUGCAGUCGCAGCGCAUCGACAAGACGCCGAGGCCGCCCACGCAACCCACGUGAGCACGCUUGGUAACCGGCGUCCGUGCUAGCGGGCGGCGAACCGAACUCGUUUCGGGGCGCCGCCCGCUUUGCGUU